UACGUAGGGUGCAAGCGUUAAUCGGAAUUACUGGGCGUAAAGCGUGCGCAGGCGGUUUCGUAAGUCUGACGUGAAAUCCCCGGGCUCAACCUGGGAAUUGCGAUGGAGACUGCAAGGCUUGAAUCUGGCAGAGGGGGGUAGAAUUCCACGUGUAGCAGUGAAAUGCGUAGAGAUGUGGAGGAACACCGAUGGCGAAGGCAGCCCCCUGGGUCAAGAUUGACGCUCAUGCACGAAAGCGUGGGGAGCAAACAGG
This 253-nucleotide ribosomal RNA is filed under the name uncultured bacterium. Its description in RNAcentral is "partial 16S ribosomal RNA". It matches the Rfam family "Bacterial small subunit ribosomal RNA", at positions 524 to 776 of the family's 1533-position model. The record is from RNAcentral.